ACGAGAAAUCUUUAGCUUGCUAAAGAGAGUAAAGUGGCGCACGGGUGAGUAACGCGUGAGUAAUCUGCCUCCGAAUCGGGGAUAACAUUGCGAAAGCGAUGCUAAUACCGGAUAAAUCUUAUUGGCUUAGGUGAAAAGAUCAAAGGUGGUCUCUUCAAGAAAGCUACCGUUCGGAGAUGAGCUUGCGUACCAUUAGCCGGUUGGUGGGGUAAUGGCCUACCAAGGCGACGAUGGUUAGCUGGUCUGAGAGGAUGAUCAGCCACACCGGAACUGGAACACGGUCCGGACUCCUACGGGAGGCAGCAGUGAGGAAUUUUGCGCAAUGGGGGCAACCCUGACGCAGCAACGCCGCGUGAGUGAAGAAGGCUUUAGGGUCGUAAAGCUCUGUCAGGUGGGAAGAAUCUGUUAUAGGCCAAUAACUUAUGGCAUUGACGGUACCACCGAAGGAAGCACCGGCUAACUCCGUG
RNAcentral lists this ribosomal RNA (467 nucleotides) under uncultured bacterium. RNAcentral's name for it is "bacterial SSU rRNA". It matches the Rfam family "Bacterial small subunit ribosomal RNA", at positions 66 to 507 of the family's 1533-position model. The record is from RNAcentral.